GGUGAGUUGGCUGAGGGGUCGAAAGCACUCGCCUGCUAAGCGAGUAUAGGGGCUAGAACCUCUAUCGAGAGUUCAAAUCUCUCACUCACCGCCA
Molecule: transfer RNA, 94 nt
Filed under: Synergistaceae bacterium
Lineage: Bacteria; Thermotogati; Synergistota; Synergistia; Synergistales; Synergistaceae
Description: tRNA-Ser
Rfam family: tRNA
About the family: Transfer RNA (tRNA) molecules are approximately 80 nucleotides in length. Their secondary structure includes four short double-helical elements and three loops (D, anti-codon, and T loops).
Source: RNAcentral